UGAAUACGAGACGCUAAGGCGUCGAAGUAGUGUAUGUCAUACUUCCAAGAAAAGCUUGCACUGUCAUAGAUAAAAAACGCCUGUACCAUAACCGACACAGGUGGGUAGGUAGAGUAUACUAAGGGGCGCGAGAUAACUCUCUCUAAGGAACUCGGCAAAAUAACUCCGUAACUUCGGGAGAAGGAGUGCCUUAUUUUUAAGGCUGCAAUAACAAGAUCCAAGCAACUGUUUAUCAAAAACACAGGUCUCCGCUAAGUCGUAAGACGAUGUAUGGGGGCUGACGCCUGCCCAGUGCCAGAAGGUUAAAGAAGUUGGUUAGCUUUUGCGAAGCUGAUAACUGAAGCCCUGGUGAACGGCGGCCGUAACAAUAACGGUCCUAAGGUAGCGAAAUUCCUUGUCGGGUAAGUUCCGACCCGCAAAAGGCGUAAUGAUUUGGAUACUGUCUCGGAGAGGGGCUCGGUGAAAUAGACUUGUCUGUGAAGAUGCGGACUACCUGCACCAGGACAGAAAGACCCUAUGAAGCUUUACUGUAACUUGAAAUUGAAAUUGGACUUUAUUCGCGCAGCAUAGGUGGGAGGCGUUGAUUAUAAUCUCGUGGGAUUAUUGGAGCCAUCAGUGAGAUACCACUCUUGUAAUGUUAGAUUUCUAACUUUGAAUCAUUAUCUGGUCAAAGAACAGUUUCAGGCGGGCAGUUUGACUGGGGCGGUCGCCUCCUAAACGGUAACGGAGGCGUACAAAGGUUUCCUCUGAACGGUUAGAAAUCGUAUCUAGAGUGUAAAGGCAUAAGGAAGCUUGACUGUGAGACCUACAAGUCGAGCAGGGACGAAAGUCGGUCUUAGUGAUCUGACGGUACUGAGUGGAAAGGCCGUCACUCAACGGAUAAAAGUUAUUCUAGGAUAACAGGCUGAUCUCCCCCAAGAGUUCACAUCGACGGGGAGGUUUGGCACCUCGAUGUCGGCUCAUCGCAUCCUGGGGCGGUAGUACGUCCCAAGGGUUGGGCUGUUCGCCCAUGAAAGCGGUACGCGAGCUGGGUUCAGAACGUCGUGAGACAGUUCGGUCCAUAUCCGGUGUAGGCGCUAGAAUAUUGAGAGGAGCCUUCUUUAGUACGAGAGGACCGAGAAGGACAUACCUCUGGUGUACCAGUUAUCGUGCCAACGGUAAACGCUGGGUAGCUAUGUAUGGAGUGGAUAACCGCUGAAAGCAUCUAAGUGGGAAGCCCACCUCAAGAUAAGUAUUCUCGU
This 1241-nucleotide ribosomal RNA is filed under the name metagenome. Its description in RNAcentral is "bacterial LSU rRNA". It matches the Rfam family "Bacterial large subunit ribosomal RNA", at positions 1564 to 2817 of the family's 2925-position model. The record is from RNAcentral.